CAACCUUCAUAUGACCAUGGGUAACUUCCCCAACUAUGCCAUUUUAUUCUGGCUAGUAUGUAUGCUCUCAGCUGUUUUUAUGCCAUGUUCAAAUUUAUAUGCUUGGUUCAGUAUGUUGCAAGUACAUUCAUGUUCUGUUAUUCAUUGGGUUUAUUUAAUAGUCUUGUGGUCAAUCUCCCCUCCCCCCUUGGUUGACAUAAAUAGCAAAACUCUUAUUAAAUAACUUGAAUAGAUAUUGUCUCUGUUGAACCCUUAAGCACACUUCAAAAUAAUUAUGUUCUAGUCUUGGAGCACACCUUGUUAAGCGUGUUGUUCAAUUAGGCAUCAAGUUGUUUCAUAGUUGUUAAAGGUGUGCCUUAAGUGCGUGGGGCUCAGCCCCUUGUACCACUUUUAGUAAAAGGUUGGCAACAUAAAUGAGGAGCUUGCCCAAUAGUAGAGAUGUGCACCUUAUUGUAAAUGAGGCGCUUGCUUUAUUGUAAUAGGUGCAUGCUUCUGUGGUAUUCAUUCGCAUGCUUCUGUGGUAUCAUUCUAUAGCAUUGUAAGCGGCCUUGCCAUUUGGUUGUCUACAACAAAUCAAAUUAAAACAACUGAAAGAAAGAAAGAAAGGAAGAA
This 612-nucleotide unclassified non-coding RNA is filed under the name Hevea brasiliensis (rubber tree). The record is from RNAcentral. Lineage: Eukaryota; Viridiplantae; Streptophyta; Magnoliopsida; Malpighiales; Euphorbiaceae.